RNAcentral lists this long non-coding RNA (758 nucleotides) under Androctonus crassicauda. Lineage: Eukaryota; Metazoa; Arthropoda; Arachnida; Scorpiones; Buthidae. The record is from RNAcentral.
UCCCUCAUGUCUUUUGUCACCCGGACUCCAAAAAGAAGGACCAGUCGUCUUAUAGGUCUCACUGUGUGACUGUGGCUGGCCUCAAACUCACAGAGAUUUGUCUGCCUCAGCCUCCGGAGUACUGGGGUUAAAGGCAUGUACCACCACCACCACUUGACUUAAAAAUUUGCUGUUUUUAAAGACUUAAGUUGCUGACAUUUUUCUGAACGUAUAUAAACACACCAGGGACAGAUGAUUCCAGAUGUUGGUGGAGGAAGCACUUUAUCCAGAAUGUCUUCAACUGUACAUUACUUUAAUUGACUCCACCUUGUUUUUGUUUUUAAGACUAGCAAGGUGUUUGCUGAAGGGUGGCAUUGCCCAGAGGCUCAGGCGAGUCCCAGAGCUCACGCACCGAUGUCUGUGACCACCACCGUGGCAGAAGUCCUCCUACAAAGCUGACGAAGCCGUGAGGGUUUUGUUAGUUUGCUGGGCGGGGAUUGAGCCCACAGCCUUGUACAUGCUAGACACUACCACUGAGCUCACCUACACAUCUCACUAUGUUAUGUAGGCUCAAGCGAUCCUCCUGUCUCAGCUUCCUGAGUGUUGGGACUUCGGGUGUGCGCUGCCACACACCCGACCAGGUAGUUUUAAUAUCUGCCAUUUAUGAGGUAGAGUUUUACACAGGAUUUAGGACUAUCUUAAACCUGUUCCUUAGGUUGCUUUGUUAAGGAAUAGCCUGGACAUCCGGUGUUUAGCACUAAAGCCAUUAUGUAUGCGCC